AUUGAACGCUGGCGGCAGGCCUAACACAUGCAAGUCGAGCGGAAGAAGGGAGCUUGCUCCUGGAUUCAGCGGCGGACGGGUGAGUAAUGCCUAGGAACCUGCCUGGUAGUGGGGGAUAACGUCCGGAAACGGGCGCUAAUACCGCAUACGUCCUGAGGGAGAAAGUGGGGGAUCUUGGGACCUCACGCUAUCAGAUGAGCCUAUGUCGGAUUAGCUAGUUGGUGGGGUAAAGGCCUACCAAGGCGACGAUCCGUAACUGGUCUGAGAGGAUGAUCAGUCACACUGGAACUGAGACACGGUCCAGACUCCUACGGGAGGCAGCAGUGGGGAAUAUUGGACAAUGGGCGAAAGCCUGAUCCAGCCAUGCCGCGUGUGUGAAGAAGGUCUUCGGGUUGUAAAGCACUUUAAGUUGGGAAGAAGGGCAGUAAGUUAAUACCUUGCUGUUUUGACGUUACCAACAGAAUAAGCACCGGCUAACUUCGUG
This 484-nucleotide ribosomal RNA is filed under the name uncultured bacterium. RNAcentral describes it as "partial 16S ribosomal RNA". It matches the Rfam family "Bacterial small subunit ribosomal RNA", at positions 30 to 507 of the family's 1533-position model. The record is from RNAcentral.